This 417-nucleotide long non-coding RNA is filed under the name Mytilus galloprovincialis (Mediterranean mussel). The record is from RNAcentral. Lineage: Eukaryota; Metazoa; Mollusca; Bivalvia; Mytilida; Mytilidae.
GGACUUCUUACAGUAUCUGUGUAUUAAAAUCCAUUACAAAUAAAUAUUUACAUUAAAAUAAAAAGAUUAUAUAUGCAUACUUUGUAGAUCUAAGGAAUGCCUUUGACUCCGUAAGGAGAAAAACCCUCCUUUAUAAUCUUUACGACCUAGGAGUUGUUAAACGUUUUUAUGGUAUUAUCAAACUACAAUAUAUGAACACUCAAUCAGCUAUCAAAGUGGGGAAUCAGCACUCAGACUUUUUCGAAAUAUGGAGAGAGGUGAAACAAGGAGAUUCUUUUAGCCCCUCUUUGUUUAAUCUUUUUAUAAAUGAUAUUGAAAGUGAACUCUCAAAAAAUUAUCCUUUAAAAUUAGUUUCUUCUGAGGUAAAUUUUCUUAUGUUUGCAGAUCAUCUACUUAUACUUUCAGGAAAUAAAGCCC